AGAGUUUGAUCCUGGCUCAGGACGAACGCUGGCGGCGCGCCUAACACAUGCAAGUCGAACGAGAGAUGAAGAGCUUGCUCUUCAAAUCGAGUGGCGAACGGGUGAGUAACGCGUGAGGAACCUGCCUCAAAGAGGGGGACAACAGUUGGAAACGACUGCUAAUACCGCAUAAGCCCACGGCUCGGCAUCGAGCAGAGGGAAAAGGAGCAAUCCGCUUUGAGAUGGCCUCGCGUCCGAUUAGCUAGUUGGUGAGGUAACGGCCCACCAAGGCGACGAUCGGUAGCCGGACUGAGAGGUUGAACGGCCACAUUGGGACUGAGACACGGCCCAGACUCCUACGGGAGGCAGCAGUGGGGAAUAUUGCACAAUGGGGGAAACCCUGAUGCAGCGACGCCGCGUGGAGGAAGAAGGUCUUCGGAUUGUAAACUCCUGUUGUUGAGGAAGAUAAUGACGGUACUCAACAAGGAAGUGACGGCUAACUACGUGCCAGCAGCCGCGGUAAAACGUAGGUCACAAGCGUUGUCCGGAAUUACUGGGUGUAAAGGGAGCGCAGGCGGGAGAACAAGUUGGAAGUGAAAUCCAUGGGCUCAACCCAUGAACUGCUUUCAAAACUGUUUUUCUUGAGUAGUGCAGAGGUAGGCGGAAUUCCCGGUGUAGCGGUGGAAUGCGUAGAUAUCGGGAGGAACACCAGUGGCGAAGGCGGCCUACUGGGCACCAACUGACGCUGAGGCUCGAAAGUGUGGGUAGCAAACAGGAUUAGAUACCCUGGUAGUCCACGCCGUAAACGAUGAAAUCUAGGUGUUGGGAAGCAUUGCUUCCUCGGGGCCGCCGCCAACCCAGUA
This 842-nucleotide ribosomal RNA is filed under the name uncultured bacterium. Its description in RNAcentral is "bacterial SSU rRNA". It matches the Rfam family "Bacterial small subunit ribosomal RNA", at positions 8 to 862 of the family's 1533-position model. The record is from RNAcentral.